This 431-nucleotide long non-coding RNA is filed under the name Pan troglodytes (chimpanzee). RNAcentral's name for it is "long non-coding RNA NONPTRT002569". The record is from RNAcentral. Lineage: Eukaryota; Metazoa; Chordata; Mammalia; Primates; Hominidae.
UCAUAUCUAAGUGUUGGCCAUUAUAGUGUGUAAACUUGGACAUGUUAUCUAAUUUCUCAAAGCUUCAGUUUGCUUAGCUGUUAAAUGGUAACAAUAACAUAUGCAUUUGAAUUAUUGGCAAGGAUUAAAUUACAUAUUUGAUGAAAAAUGCUUUGUACCACUCCAGUCACAAGGUAAUUUAUUAAUAUAUGUUUGAUCACUACCAUAAUGAUAGAUUUUGUGAUGAUAAUGUGAUUGCGAUUAUAUAAGGGAAAACUCAGUAAAGGAGGAUGGGGCCUUUAAGCUAAAUCUUCUGUAUCUAGAAAUGUGAGAAAGUAGAAGAAAUCUCUCAGGUACCGAAGAACUCAGCAAGGGAAAAAAGACCUGUUAAUAUCAUAGAUAAUGCCUGAGAUGGUCCUAGAGUAUCCCUGUGUCACUGGAUGAAGCUCUGA